CAAGUAGGUGGUUUGAUAAGUGAGGUGUGAAAUCUUCCGACUCAAUCGGAAAACUGCCUUUCAAACUGUCAGACUUGAGGUAGGAAGAGGAAAAUGGAAUUCUCGGUGUAAGGGUGAAAUCUGUGGAUAUCGAGAAGAACAUCAGCGGCGAAGGCGAUUUUCUGGUCCUAUCCUGACACUGAAUUGCGAAAGCUAGGGGAGCAAACAGGAUUAGAUACCCUGGUAGUCC
This 229-nucleotide ribosomal RNA is filed under the name uncultured bacterium. RNAcentral's name for it is "partial 16S ribosomal RNA". It matches the Rfam family "Bacterial small subunit ribosomal RNA", at positions 568 to 796 of the family's 1533-position model. The record is from RNAcentral.